Molecule: ribosomal RNA, 253 nt
Filed under: uncultured bacterium
Lineage: Bacteria
Description: partial 16S ribosomal RNA
Rfam family: Bacterial small subunit ribosomal RNA
Source: RNAcentral
UACGUAGGUGGCAAGCGUUGUCCGGAUUUACUGGGCGUAAAGGAUGCGUAGGUGGAUAUUUAAGCGGGAUGUGAAAUACCCGAGCUCAACUUGGGUGCUGCAUUCCAAACUGGAUAUCUAGAGUGCAGGAGAGGUAAGUGGAAUUCCUAGUGUAGCGGUGAAAUGCGUAGAGAUUAGGAAGAACACCAGUGGCGAAGGCGACUUACUGGACUGUAACUGACACUGAGGCAUGAAAGCGUGGGGAGCAAACAGG